AUUGAACGCUGGCGGCAUGCUUUACACAUGCAAGUCGAACGGUAACAGGGUGCUUGCACCGCUGACGAGUGGCGAACGGGUGAGUAAUGCAUCGGAAUGUACCGUGUAAUGGUGGAUAGCUCGGCGAAAGCCGGAUUAAUACCGCAUACGCCCUGAGGGGGAAAGUGGGGGACCGAAAGGCCUCACGUUAUACGAGCAGCCGAUGUCUGAUUAGCUAGUUGGUUAGGUAAAGGCUCACCAGGGCGUCGAUCAGUAGCGGGUCUGAGAGGAUGACCCGCCACACUGGGACUGAGACACGGCCCAGACUCCUACGGGAGGCAGCAGUGGGGAAUUUUGGACAAUGGGCGCAAGCCUGAUCCAGCCAUGCCGCGUGUCUGAAGAAGGCCUUCGGGUUGUAAAGGACUUUUGUCCGGGAGCAAAUCCUAGUGGUUAAUAACCGCUGGGUCUGAGAGUACCGGAAGAAUAAGCACCGGCUAACUACGUG
RNAcentral lists this ribosomal RNA (484 nucleotides) under uncultured bacterium. RNAcentral's name for it is "partial 16S ribosomal RNA". It matches the Rfam family "Bacterial small subunit ribosomal RNA", at positions 30 to 507 of the family's 1533-position model. The record is from RNAcentral.